RNAcentral lists this long non-coding RNA (845 nucleotides) under Apteryx owenii (little spotted kiwi). RNAcentral describes it as "lncRNA (ENSAOWG00000006174.1)". Lineage: Eukaryota; Metazoa; Chordata; Aves; Apterygiformes; Apterygidae. The record is from RNAcentral.
AGGCCCGGGCCCGGGCCGUUCCGCCGCCGCUCCGCCCCUGAGCGCCGGGCGCCCAAAGGCUGCCGGAGCGCUCGUGUCGCGGCAGUCCUCGUUGCCGGGGCUGGCGCGGCCCCUUCGGCGGGGGCUGAGCGGCUUUAUCUGCGCGCCUCGGAAGUGGCCACGGGCUCUGGCUGGCUGAAGAGACCACACUUACCAAGAAGAACAGACAUCUCUAUGUAAACAGAGGCUUUGGAGCAAAGAGUUCUGGCUACGUUAGUCUUUGGAAUACCUGAAAAUACACUGGAACAUACAGAAAUGAAGGAACAGACCCUCAAUGAGUCUUUUCAACACCUGAAGGAAGUCCAGUGGGAAGAAACUGGGAUCAGAAAGGCUGUCUUUAAAGGAGGCUGUGUUCUGUCAUCAGUGAGUACUUGUGAACAGACCUGGCUGUAUCUAUGUAUUUGGGAGCAUAAUGGAAAACUAUUUGACUGCCAAAUUCCCAUACAAUACCAGAAAGGGAGAAGAGAGGGGAAUCCCCUCGUACUGUUUCAGCCUAUUGGAUGUGCUGCUGUGCAUCGUUCAGGUUUGUGAACCAAGUUAGAGAGAGAGAGAGAAGAAAAAGGAGAAAAAAAAAGAAAAAAAGAAACACCUUUCUGACCCAAUAUUGAAGAGCAUGGUGGAUGUGCUUCUAAGGCUAAGGUAGUGUUGCAGGAAGCAGCUGAGAGCAGUCAAUAGCCCAGUGUUCCAGUCAUGCCAAGACAGGAAGAGGAGGACUAGCUACUGAGAUUCCUUAGAGAGUGGAGAAAGAGGAAGAGAAUCCUGAUGGGAGGAGUAGUGCAACCCCAAGAUGAUUAUAUGGGUACUAU